GGGACACGUGGUAUCCUGUCUGAAUAUGGGGGGACCAUCCUCCAAGGCUAAAUACUCCUGACUGACCGAUAGUGAACCAGUACCGUGAGGGAAAGGCGAAAAGAACCCCGGCGAGGGGAGUGAAAAAGAACCUGAAACCGUGUACGUACAAGCAGUGGGAGCACGCUUAGGCGUGUGACUGCGUACCUUUUGUAUAAUGGGUCAGCGACUUAUAUUCUGUAGCAAGGUUAACCGAAUAGGGGAGCCGAAGGGAAACCGAGUCUUAACUGGGCGUUAAGUUGCAGGGUAUAGACCCGAAACCCGGUGAUCUAGCCAUGGGCAGGUUGAAGGUUGGGUAACACUAACUGGAGGACCGAACCGACUAAUGUUGAAAAAUUAGCGGAUGACUUGUGGCUGGGGGUGAAAGGCCAAUCAAACCGGGAGAUAGCUGGUUCUCCCCGAAAGCUAUUUAGGUAGCGCCUCGUGAAUUCAUCUCCGGGGGUAGAGCACUGUUUCGGCAAGGGGGUCAUCCCGACUUACCAACCCGAUGCAAACUGCGAAUACCGGAGAAUGUUAUCACGGGAGACACACGGCGGGUGCUAACGUCCGUCGUGAAGAGGGAAACAACCCAGACCGCCAGCUAAGGUCCCAAAGUCAUGGUUAAGUGGGAAACGAUGUGGGAAGGCCCAGACAGCCAGGAUGUUGGCUUAGAAGCAGCCAUCAUUUAAAGAAAGCGUAAUAGCUCACUGGUCGAGUCGGCCUGCGCGGAAGAUGUAACGGGGCUAAACCAUGCACCGAAGCUGCGGCAGCGACGCUUAUGCGUUGUUGGGUAGGGGAGCGUUCUGUAAGCCUGUGAAGGUGUGCUGUGAGGCAUGCUGGAGGUAUCAGAAGUGCGAAUGCUGACAUAAGUAACGAUAAAGCGGGUGAAAAGCCCGCUCGCCGGAAGACCAAGGGUUCCUGUCCAACGUUAAUCGGGGCAGGGUGAGUCGACCCCUAAGGCGAGGCCGAAAGGCGUAGUCGAUGGGAAACAGGUUAAUAUUCCUGUACUUGAUGUUACUGCGAAGGGGGGACGGAGAAGGCUAUGUUGGCCGGGCGACGGUUGUCCCGGUUUAAGCGUGUAGGCUGGUUUUCCAGGCAAAUCCGGAAAAUCAAGGCUGAGGCGUGAUGACGAGGCACUACGGUGCUGAAGCAACAAAUGCCCUGCUUCCAGGAAAAGCCUCUAAGCAUCAGGUAACAUCAAAUCGUACCCCAAACCGACACAGGUGGUCAGGUAGAGAAUACCAAGGCGCUUGAGAGAACUCGGGUGAAGGAACUAGGCAAAAUGGUGCCGUAACUUCGGGAGAAGGCACGCUGAUAUGUAGGUGAAGUCCCUCGCGGAUGGAGCUGAAAUCAGUCGAAGAUACCAGCUGGCUGCAACUGUUUAUUAAAAACACAGCACUGUGCAAACACGAAAGUGGACGUAUACGGUGUGACGCCUGCCCGGUGCCGGAAGGUUAAUUGAUGGGGUCAGCGCAAGCGAAGCUCUUGAUCGAAGCCCCGGUAAACGGCGGCCGUAACUAUAACGGUCCUAAGGUAGCGAAAUUCCUUGUCGGGUAAGUUCCGACCUGCACGAAUGGCGUAAUGAUGGCCAGGCUGUCUCCACCCGAGACUCAGUGAAAUUGAACUCGCUGUGAAGAUGCAGUGUACCCGCGGCAAGACGGAAAGACCCCGUGAACCUUUACUAUAGCUUGACACUGAACAUUGAGCCUUGAUG
This 1732-nucleotide ribosomal RNA is filed under the name Escherichia coli. RNAcentral describes it as "partial 23S ribosomal RNA". It matches the Rfam family "Bacterial large subunit ribosomal RNA", at positions 419 to 2136 of the family's 2925-position model. Lineage: Bacteria; Pseudomonadati; Pseudomonadota; Gammaproteobacteria; Enterobacterales; Enterobacteriaceae. The record is from RNAcentral.